GGCACCAUGGUGUAGUGGUUAUCAUUAUCACAUCUGCCUAACACGCAGAAGGUCCCCAGUUCGAGCCUGGGUGGUGUCA
Molecule: transfer RNA, 79 nt
Filed under: Hofstenia miamia
Lineage: Eukaryota; Metazoa; Xenacoelomorpha; Acoela; Hofsteniidae
Description: tRNA-Val for anticodon AAC
Rfam family: tRNA
About the family: Transfer RNA (tRNA) molecules are approximately 80 nucleotides in length. Their secondary structure includes four short double-helical elements and three loops (D, anti-codon, and T loops).
Source: RNAcentral